GAUGAACGCUGGCGGCGUGCCUAAUACAUGCAAGUCGAACGAGGUGCUUUUGUAGCAAUACGAAAGUAUCCUAGUGGCGAACGGGUGAGUAACGCGUUGGUGACCUACCCCAAAGUGUGGGAUAACAGUUCGAAAGAACUGCUAAUACCGCAUGUGGUUAUCAGGUUUAGAAACUGAUAACUAAAGGAGCAAUUCGCUUUGGGAGGGACCUGCGUCCCAUCAGCUAGUUGGUGAGGUAACGGCUCACCAAGGCGACGACGGGUAGGGGACCUGAGAGGGUGACCCCCCACAAUGGAACUGAACACGGUCCAUACACCUACGGGUGGCAGCAGUAGGGAAGUAUUGCACAAUGGGCGAAAGCCUGAUGCAGCAACGCCGCGUGUGCGAUGAAGGCCUCGGUCGGUAAGACACUUUCUUGUAGAGA
RNAcentral lists this ribosomal RNA (424 nucleotides) under uncultured bacterium. RNAcentral's name for it is "bacterial SSU rRNA". It matches the Rfam family "Bacterial small subunit ribosomal RNA", at positions 28 to 446 of the family's 1533-position model. The record is from RNAcentral.